ACGAACGCUGGCGGCGUGCUUAACACAUGCAAGUCGAACGGAAAGGCCCUGCUUUUGUGGGGUGCUCGAGUGGCGAACGGGGGAGUAACACGUGAGUAACCUGCCCUUGACUUUGGGAUAACUUCAGGAAACUGGGGCUAAUACCGGAUAGGAGCUCCUGCUGCAUGGUGGGGGGUGGAAAGUUUCGGCGGUUGGGGAUGGACUCGCGGCUUAUCAGCUUGUUGGUGGGGUAGUGGCUUACCAAGGCUUUGACGGGUAGCCGGCCUGAGAGGGUGACCGGCCACAUUGGGACUGAGAUACGGCCCAGACUCCUACGGGAGGCAGCAGUGGGGAAUAUUGCACAAUGGGCGGAAGCCUGAUGCAGCAACGCCGCGUGCGGGAUGACGGCCUUCGGGUUGUAAACCGCUUUCGCCUGUGACGAAGCGUGAGUGACGGUAAUGGGUAAAGAAGCACCGGCUAACUACGUG
RNAcentral lists this ribosomal RNA (467 nucleotides) under uncultured bacterium. RNAcentral's name for it is "partial 16S ribosomal RNA". It matches the Rfam family "Bacterial small subunit ribosomal RNA", at positions 29 to 507 of the family's 1533-position model. The record is from RNAcentral.